GCAAGAGAUUUCUGAUGGCGAUGUAGAGAUUCCUGAGAAUUGAAGAGCUGAAAAGAGGGGAAUCGUGAUUCCGUUUGCAGGAGAAGGUUAAAUUCUGUAUUUUUUUUCUCUCAAUAUAAUAGUUCUAAUGUUUGGAUUUAUCAGAUGAUACAGAAUUUGAUAUAAUGUUUGUUUCAAUUUGCAUUAUUAGGAUUUUGAAUGUUCAUUCAUCUAUAUCUAUUGGAAUGCUUUUAGCUUGAACUUUUUUUCUCAAAUGCAUAGCCUCAAACUGCAGUUUGUAUUUCCUAUGCUAUUUGUAUCUAUUGGGGAUG
This 311-nucleotide unclassified non-coding RNA is filed under the name Hevea brasiliensis (rubber tree). The record is from RNAcentral. Lineage: Eukaryota; Viridiplantae; Streptophyta; Magnoliopsida; Malpighiales; Euphorbiaceae.